GGUUGAUUUCAUGUGCAGCAAUCAAAUUUCCAAAACAAGUUAGAAAGAGUCAGGUUUUUAGGUCUUUAUAAUAUCAACAUAUACGAUAUUACUAGUAAGCUAAUAUGACUGCUUCUAUAUAAUAUGAUCUCAAUAAAGAACGCAAGCUUAUCUAUAAAUUUCAUUUACAUAAUAUCUAAUUCUUUGGAUUGUGGACAACAACUAGCAUUCCAUAAUUCAAAACCAGAGUCAGGAAAUCGUGUAUAAAUCGACAUUUUAAAUAUCUAAUCAUAUUUGAUUAGCUACUGGUAUUAAUUAAUAAGCAUCCACCUAUCAAACAUAAACAUACAUGUGCACACUAGUAUCACAGGCAUCAUAAUUAACAUAUUGAAUUAACAGGUUUGCGCAUAGAACAGUAACAUAUAUGCUUCAUUUGGUGGGUGGAGGUGUGCGUGUUGGGGGGAGGGGGGUGUGGGCUGCAGGGGACAGUUUUACAUUACUUUCUUUGCUCGGCCAACAAAUAAGCAUCCGAGGUCAGGAUCCAUGUUAGUUAGGAGCAGAUAUCAACAUUUCUUGUCUUCCUUUUUGUUUAAAGCAUUUACUAGCCUAGGGAGACCAUGGGGGAUUUCUGCUCGGUUGCAUGAGCUUAAUCCAGAUGACUAAUAAGGUUAGUGUUUCUGCUCAUCAGCUGUCUUCCUGGAUUCCAGGGAUUGCCCUUCAAUGCCCAAAAUUCUUUGCAGUUGACAUCUGGUUUGGGACUUGCAAAAAACUCUUAAUCACAAUUGGCAUCUUGUUGCAUGUUAAGCUUACGUAAAAGUAAACCUAGCCAUGGGUCUCUAGAAACUUCCUUAGGCACUUUGUUUGAGUUACUUUAUACUAAAUUUGUUUGCUUAUAUACAAGAGCCCAACAUCCAAAAACUUCCUUAGGCACUUUGUUUGUUUUAUGUAAACAUUUACUAUGCUAUUUGGUGCAAGGCUCUUUGGUGGAACACAUCUUGUAAUCUUCCUUUUUUCAUCAACAAGAGUAAUUACAGAGUACAACAAUGACAUAAAAUAUUCUAAAUGUCCAAUUUGUAUUAAAAAAAUUGACAUCCUCUAACCUGUAAUGACCUUUUUGGAAUUUAUAUUGAGAAAAGGUACGGGGUCGCUGUCAGCCUUUCUUCCUGGUAACAUGCAUUUUGCAUUCUUCAUUUUCCCUUUACCAUCUUGUAUACCAUCUGGUUAUGUAACUGCAUCUUGUUAAAUGAUUAUUUACCGAUAAACAAUUUGAUGCAAAUUGAGUCUAAGUGUUUGGCACUCGUUGAAGUUUAUGCCUUUAUGCAUGCUGCUUACUACAUAGUUGACCAUUUGUCAGAUGUAUUUAAUUAGUGUUAUACAUUAAUUUUAUUCUAAUGUUGUUCUGAAUCUUGAUGAAUAUUAGGUAUUACACUGGAUAUCCAAAGGAUAUUGGACCUUCGCGGGUUAUCCAUUUUACCUCAGAGCGUCAGUUUGUUCAGCUUCUGCAUGAAGGCCAUCCUGUGGUUGUUGCAUUUACUAUAAGGUUAUUUUGUAUAUGUUAAUUAUUUAGUUUAUCUUGAGAUUACUACUGGAUUCAAAAGAAAAGGGAAAAAAGAAUGAUCCUCCUCCCUCUCUGUGAGUCUAUAUCCAGUUUUUCCACCAGCAUCUAAACUAAAUCCUUAAUUAAUGCUCCACUGGAAACUAAUUCUUGAUAGGAGGGUUUUGGACUGGCCUAUGACAUGAUAGAAAAUUGCAUCAAUUGGAUAUGUCAUUUUCCCUUGAUGUUCAAUCAAAAGAGUAACUGUAUUAUGAACAUAAGGAUUUGGAGGUAAUCAAUUCAUUGGGUUGGUGUGCAAAUCCAGUAAAUGCAGGAAAUUGUAGUACUGCAUGCAUGCAUUGGCAUACUAUAUGACUUAUUUUUGUAGCUUGAUGCAUAUUUUACAUAUUUUAUUGUAGGGUUCCCUAUACGAAGCAUCUCGAUAGAGUAUUGGAGGAGGCCGCUGCUGAGUUUUAUCCCCAUAUAAAAUUCAUGCAUGUAAGACUACUAUCUAGCAAGUUCUGCAUAUGUUACUUUUAGACAUUUUUUAUAGCUUGCUCAUUGAGGAAUAUCAAUAUUAUUCUUCUUUAUAGCUUGCUCGUUGGGAAUAUUAAUAUUAUCCUAUAUCAUAAUGCUGUUUUUUUUAUACUUCAUUUCCACCGAUUACCUAACUUAGCCAGUGCUGCUUUUUUGCUUAGCUGCAUUUAUGUAUCAAGAUCUUUGUUUUUUGUUUAGGAAUAUCAAGACAUAAUGGGAGUUUAUGCUUUCAGGCAGUUUAUGAUAUUCUUUCAUUUCUUGCAUUCCAAACACUUCAAUACAUGUAAUUUCCUGUUCACGAAUGUGAAAUUUCUCAGAUGCUUAACAAUAUACCAUCCAUCAGUUGUUCAGUUGUAUUAUCUCUGAUCAACAUUGCUUAGACUGGGUUAAAGGCAUGUUCUAUGGUCCCAAAGUUUUGGCCAAAUAAGCUGGAGGUAGGUGGUUUUGUUAGUUGACAUCCCUAGUAGCAUUGAAGUCUCAAUGGAGAAAGUUAAUCUGGUCCAGAUUGCGGGUCUGUGAGGAUUAUAGUGUUUGAUGUGCUACAUUAUUGUAGUCAGUUCAUUCAUCUUUUAGGUAUUGGUUUACUUUCAAAACUUGGGCUCUUCAUAGGCAAUGCUUAUACAUUUUCUGUUAAGUCAGGCACCCUUUGUAUCCGUGAAAUUUAGAAUGUUGAAUGCCUCUUAACUAUUCCCUUUCUAUAUAAUGUGGUGCGAGUUAUUAGAUUCUUUAGUUUGCUUGUGCUCUUUCAACUUCCAGAUUAACUUAAUUUAUCUUAGUUUUCUCUCCUUUAUUGCAACAAAUGAUGUUGACUUUGGCUGUUUCUGCUUCCCUCUGGUUAUGAUAAUGUGGGCAAGUUGAAAGGGGAGGUUUUUUAAAUAUAUAAUGACAAGUGAAAUUUGACGUUAAAAUUUUUCAACUGAUAGAUGCAUUGCAUUGUGAAGUGGGCUUUGGCAGUGCAAAUAAAAAAAUGGCUUGUUUGGUGAUGCUGAUUGGCAGAAAAAAGAGGAGAUUUCUUGCUGAAGAUAUUGGUUUGAUGUGGUGGGUUGUAGAAGUUGGCCUCCAGUACAUGGUUCUCUCAUGCUUAUGUUUGAUGAGAGCCUGCUGGCUUAGGUUCAGAUUGAAAACUACAUCUCUCUUUUCCCCUAAGUCUAGAUUUUGUUUGGAUCCAUCAUGUGUUUUGUGAAAUUGGAUAUGUCAAUUCUGAAAGAGGGAAAGAUGGAGAUAGGGAUCUCAAAAUUAACUCUAGGGUUCAUGAAACUUGACAUUUUACAAGGGUAAUUUAGUACCUGUAUUAUUGAUUAAGAUGAGAAAACAGCAAAACUGGUUUUUAACAUCACUAUGGUGGGCUUAACUCAUUGUUUUAUUGCAAUGCUCCCCCAAUAUCUGGAAGUUGCAACCAAGAAUUUGAUAAGUGCCCUGGUGGUUGAUGUGUGUCUAAUUCAUUCAUAUCUUGUCCUGGUGGCUGACCACAAUUGCUAGACUUCGUUUUGGUUCGCUUGAUCAAAUAUAUUGUGUUUGUCAGGAAUUUUCCUUAGUUUGACAUGCUUUAGUACUCUUCUACGGUUCGCCUGCCAAACAGCUUAGAUUUAUGAAUGAGUUAUGAAAUAGUGGCUAAUUUACUUGGUAGUUUUGAUAAGUGUCCUUGGUGUAUUUUAGUAUCUUCUUAUCAAGUUUUGUAGCAUUUCGUUCCAUGGUUGGUUAUAAAAUAGUAGUUUAUUACUUACCAUUUCUUUCCGUGGUCCAUCUAGGUUGAGUGCCCCAAAUAUCCAGGAUUUUGCAUUGCAAGGCAAAGGAAAGAGUAUCCGUUCAUUGAAAUAUAUCACAGCCCAGAGCAGGUAGCCUUUGUUUUACUCAGUUUUUGUUCUUUUGGUUUUGAUCUAGUGUAAUUACUGAGGAAAAUAUAGAUGCUUCUCCCAUUCUUUGAUAAUCCAGGCCUAUUGACCUGUAAGCAUAUUUCCUGUGUUAGAUAGACCAGGGUACGAGUACUAGAGAUUUUCUUAUAAAUAUGUCUGAUGUUUUGCUUGCUUCCAGCGACUAGGUCUAAUUUUAUAAAUAUAUUAUCUUUGCUUUUGCUUUUUCUUUUUUUUUUUGGGGGGGGGAUAUGGGGUUAAUUACCUAGGUUCAAAUCCUUGGUUAAUGCACCACACAAGACCAGCCCAGAACCUCCCCCAUUGAGUGGAGGGGUGCAACUGUUAGUGCCCAGGUCUUCUUUCAUUUCUUGAAUUAGUUCCAACUAUAAUGUAGCACAGUUUGGUCAGAUAAUGUCAUUCAAGUUUUAUUUACCUUUUCUUUUUGUCGCCUUGCUCAGACAGCUUGUUUUGGUUGGAUGAUGAGAUUUAUGCUUUCAUAAUUCUGUCAUCAUCUGUUUAUCUUCUCACUUUCUUACCAUUGAUCAGGCAGCUGACCAAGGAAAAUUGGUGGAUCCCAAUAUAAAAAAAUACUCAGUCAAAGUGUUGCCUGUAAGUUUGUGAUCUUGCCUUACCUUCUCAUCUUUAUAUUGAUGUUUAAUAUGAAAAUGAUAUUUUCCUGAGACCUCGUAACAAAUGCAUUUAGUCCAGAAAAUAAAAUUGCAGACCCUUCGUGUCUGAUAUAUUGGUUUAUUCCUGCACUUAUGGUUGGUUAUACUUUCAGGAACCUACUUCAUAAUAAUACCUAGCAUGGUACCCAUUUGAUGUUCUAGAGACCUACAAGUCACCAUGUGUGCUUGUUGGUGGGCAGUAGAUUUCUUCCCUGCCUAGUGGUGAUUAUUAAGGUCUUUCACAUGAGCUACAGUACUCGAGCUAAUAUAGCUCACGAAUUCGGGUUCUCAAUAGUUUUCCUAUCCGAGAAUAUUCAGGGGACUUCCUUGUUGAUUUGGUUAUUUUCAUUAUUUCAAGUACCAUAUCAAAAGGUCCAAAUACUUGGGGCCCAGGGUCCUCUAAGUUGGAAUUUUGCCUAAUUGGUUACGCUCGCAUUCUUGAACUAGGAUGUCUACUUGGGUCCGCUAUGAGCAAGUUUUCCAAUUCUUCUGCCAGAUCUGUACUUGACCUUGUAGGAGUUUGGUAUCUGUCCUUUUGUUGUUGAUGUGGUAUGAAUUGAGCCCAGAUCUACUGUAGAGCUGGAUGUAGGCUGAUGGAGAAAGGAUCAUUCAUGCUUUGUGUGGGGAAAUGUUAUAGGAUAUCUGCUUUCUCAGUUCUGUUGGUAAUUUUUUUUCCCCUUUCAUUUUCUUUGCAGUUUAACUAUGACCUAAGUGCAUACGGGUUUCGCGAAUUUUUCAAGCGGCAUGGGACGCAUGUAUCUGAAACCAGCUAGAGCAGCACUUCCUCUAUCCAAAAAAAAAAUGCAGCACUUCUCUGGUUCAUCCUUACUAUUUUCAAGGAGCCCUUGAAUUUUACUUGAAAAUGGAGUUCCUUCACAUAUGGGAAGGGAAAAUCUCCGCUUCGACUUGGAGUCCCAGUCCCUGAUUAAAGCUUGAACCCUAUUCCCAGCAUUAUGGAGUACGAGCCAUUGCUGCCGCCUGGAACUGCAUCAUAACAUCUAAUGAAUGAGAUAGUAUGUGUCAAGAACACAGCAUUAAUCCUCUGUUCUCAGGGUUCUGCUGUAAUAAUACAACUUUUGUAGCUGUCCAGUGUAAGGAGGAAUAUCUAGAAUGCAAUCUCUAAAUAUUAUUAGAUGACGUACCGAAGAUUGUAGUCUACAAGGUCCACCGAGACCAUGCACCAUAUCACCCAAGUUAUCAUGAGUCUAGCUGAAGAAUUUGCAUGAUCAUGCAUGAUGCUGAAACUAGCAGCCUUUCAGUUGUCAGCGCUUGCAACUGGAGUAUUAAGUCCCAUACUGGUGCUGUGGAUGAUAGUGGUGGUAGCAGGCGGGUCAGGACAAGUAGAUGAUGGAUCCAAUAUCAUGCUGAUGAAUGAAAUGCCAGAGUCCUAAAACAAUUAACUUGGCCUGACAACUAAUCCAUGAACUCAAAUUAGACCUAAACCUAUGAGCCCUCAUACAAGUGUGCGUUUGGUUAUGAGAGAUUUUAGAUACUUAUAUAGAAUAAAAAAAUUAAAUAAUUUUGUAAUAUCAUCUGUUAAGUCUUUUUGAGUAAAAUUUUGGGCCGCUGCUCUUUGAAUAGAAUUUUGGGUCGCUGCAAAUGGUAUCAAAAUAGACCUAGUCUAUAAUUAUCUAAAGUGGAAAAUACUAUAAUAAAGGUGCGUUAAGCUAAUUAUAGUAUUUAUGAUUAAAUUUGAUUGAAUGUAGAUCUUUGGCUUGAAUGAGAAGGCCAAAUAAUAACUUUCAAUUUUUUUUUUAUACAUGUAUUUAGUUCUACAUUGGUUAUGCAUCUAAAUAAUAGUUUUGAUUUUUUUAAUUAAAAUAUAUAUUGAAUUCUUGAUAUAAGAACAAGAAAUUUAAAUAAUACGUUCUAGCUUUUUUUUUUUUUUGAAAAAGAUCCUAAAUAAUAUUUAUAAAAAAAAGCAACAUACAAUAGAAAAAUGCUAAUUUACAGCAGAUAUUUACUAGAUCAAUCCAACAACCUACUCCAAAGUCAACGGAUCAACAGGGGAAAUAAAUGAAUAAAAUGUAAAUAAUCCCCCUCCUAAGUGCCCUGCCAUCUGGCAGCACUAAUACAACAAUACAACAAUUCACAAAUACACAGCUGACGCACAAGAAUGGCCAAAAUUGUUAGCACGAAUAAGAUCAUGAAUAAGAUUAGUCGAUCAGAUCCCUUCAUGUCAUGGAUAAUAGCUCAUCUCUCUUAAUAGAGCUUGCUGAAUCGUGGUGGCCAUGACGGCUCUCCUAGCUUUGGAAAGAAGGCCUCCCUUUCAAACAGGACCUGCAAGGAGCCCAACACCCUCAUCAACGAACCCCAAAGAACUGGGGCACAGCAGAAGGCGUAGGCAAACAAUGACAAGGCCCUGACAAUACCAUCAGAAUACAAAGGGAAUGCCAUAACAAAUAGAGCACCAAAGAUCCCCAUCCAGGGUGCAAGGACAGGGACUGGUGGGAGCAUGAAGAGAUUGAUUACUAUAGAAGCUAGAGCUGAUGAGCCAAACAAGUAGAGAGACCAGCCUAGAAACGGGUGCACGGCACGAGGGAUCAGGAAGAAGGGAAUGGUGUAUGCUGCUAAUAUGGACCAUAAAGCAGCCACCUUGAUCAUGGUGUGUGAGAAGGUGAAGCUCCUCUUCUCAGCUCGCCGGUUGUAACACAGCUUCAACAAGCUGGGCCGUGUCAUCUGGGUAACUGCCAUGACCCCAAGAUACAGUACAGACUGGAUCAGUAUCACCGGCAACUCUAAACUGUACCUGUUCACAUAUAUGUGAAGGAAAACCAGAAACAUAAUGUUAGGUUUCAAGCUCCAUAAAGCAUUGCAUGGUGCAUGUUUUAGCUAGCAAUCUGGUCAUGUUCCCUUCCUAAUCACAUUACAUGCGUCUUUUCAAAAACCAGAAUCACAACCAGUGAUAGCCUUUAAUGUACAUGUCCAUGAAAUCUUGACAGUUUGCAGGAUUAUGAGGCUUGUGACUUACCCAAGAGUUUUUCGACGUUGCUCGUGCCAAGAAAAGCCUAAAGGCAGGACUGGCCAAGACCACCAAUACCAUGGCUUCAACCAUGGUGCACUAGGGAAAGUAAUUACACUGUUUGGUCCACAUGGUAUGCUCCAACGAAGCUUGAGAUCUGUAGCAGUAAAAAGCCCAAAGGAUUGUCUCUGUGACAUAUAUUAUCAGGUAAUGGGAGAAAACAAGAAGGCUAGGUUAUGGUAAUUACAGUAGUAGGAAGCAUCCAUCUGGUAUCCCAAAGGAAGGCGAUACAUGCCAUCUAGCUUGGAACCAUUGGAAGGUGGAUGAAACAUUGGACGGUCAAGCAAAUCUGGGAAGUAGCUGGUGAGGAAGCCCUGAUCUGCACCAUCUGGAUUUUCUCGUCCAGUUUCUAAGUCAUGAAACAUGCUUCUGAAGACCUCCAUUGAAGGCUGCAGCUCCAAUAGAAUAAAUUGUAUCAGAGAAUUCAAAGCAGCACAAAUUAGUUUCUCAACGGAACAUGCAGGGCACGAAGUCCAUAGAAGGUGUGAGCACAAUAUUGACAUAUGCAGGAAACCAAUUGUCCAGGGAAACAAAACUAAAUGGACUGGAAAGUUUUUAUUAUGAAAAGCAGAAACCAUCAAUUUAUCAAUUAGUAUGAGAAUCUUAGAAAACAAAAAACUUUAUUGCAAGGGCCCAUGCUAUUGCAACAAAGUAGAACUGAAUGGGUUUCCUUGUAAUUUUGGGAUCAAAUCUGAAAGUUAUGUGGUUUUAGGAAUCAAUCUUGAGAGUUAUUACAAUCAAAGGUCAAAUUCUAAAUCCAUGUUGAGGACCUUGAAUAAGACUCCAACAAAAGGAAUUGAAAGAUGUCAAAGAGUGCAAAGGUAAUGGUCUCUUUAGGUAGAUGAAUGCCUGAAGAAUGAUGUAACAAUUUAGGACCUCAUCCAAAAUGGCUAGCUGGAAGAUAUUAUUUGGGUUUCUUGAUCCUAUAUAAGUACCCAAGAUCUUUCCAGCGAAUAAUCAACGUGGGACUAAACACACGCCCGCAUGGGUCCUCACAGAUGAGGUAUUAAUUUUCGAGUUAUUAACAAGAUGCAACACAACAUUGUAUUGGAAUGUUUGUAGAAAAAGAAAUGCUCUGGAAUGUUUGUACAAAAGAAAUGCUCGCAUGUUUCUGCAGAACAUAUCUACCAUUAUCACUGAACAAGCUGCUUCAAUCAUUUCAUCUUUGGGGUAACCUUUGUGUUGCCAAAGCUCAGGCAGGCCACCAGCUGGUCUCACAGUAGCUGGUCUCACAGUGUGUCUUGCAGCUUGCAAAGCCUUCAGAGACCUGAGUCCUUUUCUUAAGUUUGCUUCUGUUGUAGUUCUUUCUUAAUGUCGUUUUCCUUUCUCCUCUCUUAUACUAUAUAUAAGCUUUCUUCAAAAAAUUGUGGGGAAUGAUCGCCCUCCCUCUUCUCCAUUCAAAGAAAAACAAAAAGAAAAGCAAAGACGCAGCACGUAACAGUAUAAUCCAACCACAAGAGAACAUCCAAAUAGCUCUAUUUCUGACAAUCCAAAAUCCAUUCAAAGGGCAGCGAACUUUAAAGUUCUUCGAUAGAACAUACUGGAAAGCAAGCAAGUGGCAAGGGAACAUUGCACCUGAAGAACAAAGAGCCCAGUGUGGAAGAUGCAGGGGUUGAUGAAGACAGCACAGAACUGACCACACUGGAAGAGCUCAUCGGUUCUUUGAAGGAAGAGGUUGUCGGAGUCGAGCAUGACAACCCGGUCAUACGCCACUAGGCUCCAUGCAUAAAGCUUGUUCAGUGUCAACUUAAACCUGGAAUUGAAGUUGUCCUGCUUCUCAUAUGGAUUUUUCAAGUUCUCCACCGUAACCACUUUCACACCAUCCUCUUUCCUGUUAAUAUAGAUCAGCAACAAAUCAGAUCCAAAUGGAACUUAAAACAGUAAUUCUGAAUCUGAUUCUGAAAAUUCUGAGUCAUGGAUAAUAAGAAUUAUCUUCUCAUCUUACAAUAUUAAUAAGAAUUAAUACUAAUUAUAAGUUGCACUGAUCAAGAACACAGUGGUGCAGUAACACAUAUAUUUUAAGCAUGUAACAUAUCUGUAAUGAAGUUGAGUAGGGAUUUUUUAUAUAUUCUGUAAGAUCGAGUUUUGUUGGUUAGACCAACAUGGGUUUGUUUAGUUGUUUUGAACCAUGGAUCUUCUGAAGGGCAAGCUUUUAGAAGGGAUGUGCCAACCAACUAAGCCACCAAUUGUUGGCAUAAAUAUAUUUCCUGAGGUAAAUGUAUAUAAUAGAAUAUAACAAUUAAUUGUAUAAUUAUUAGCUUAUUAGUAAAAAAACAAACAAAGAACAUGCACGGGUUAUCAAUUGUCAACAACCCACAUAGAAUUAAUUAAAAACUGUGCAUAAAUCAUCAUUAACACCACAAGAGACAAUUAAUUAAAUUUGCAACAUGUUUGGUUAUGUCAAGGAAUUGUACUAAUUCGGCUCAUAUCCCAUAUAAUCUAUGGACGCUGUAAAUUUCAAACAAUUAAGAUUUUUGGGUUCAAGCCCAAAUCAAAUGAUCACCGGUAAGAUUAGACCCAAUUAUUAUCACGCAAACAGGGGAUUUAUCCACCCAGUUGCAUCAUAUUUCGUGAAAGGGCAUUUCCGUUAAUUUGGAGAAAACCAGGGGUAUAUUCAGAGCCGCAAAAUAGCAGCAUAUCCUUGUCGGUUUCCAGAAAGGAGAAACAAAACCUGAAGUCAAAAUCUUUGGACUCACGGGUAAAACGCCGCGUGGAUUUUAAGCCACGGCAAAAUAACCCCAUAUUUUAAAAAAUUUAAAAAGAAGUUCCAAAAAUUUGUCCCCACUACAACCACCAGAAUUACGAAAUCACUACGCCAGUCAUUUAAUUCCCAAGACACUGAAAAACAACGCACAGUGGCGAUUUCGUGGAUUACUGGAAUCCAAAGGCUUCAAAUAAACAACCUUUAAAGCUCGAGAUUUUAAGAAGGCAAAAUUAAUCUGUACGAAACCGAAGAGUCCACGUGAUCUCAGCCGUCCGAUCACAACUAAUCUCGAAUAAAAUUCCAAAUCGACGCAACCUCACCUUAAGAACAAAAAACCGUAAAAAAAUUCCAAAGCGAGAGAAUAAGCGGGAUAAGAAUAAAGAGCGGUGGGAAUAAGGGGAUGGGAUUGCGUACAGGGAUCGAGUCCAUGGGAUGGGGACGUCGGAGGAGGCGAUGACGACGAGGUCGGCGUCGACGCGAAGCUUGACCAGAGAUCGCAUCAUCACCCGCGUCGCCACGUAGAACUCGUAGUCCCUCGGCGUUCCCAUGUACAUCAUCGCCGCAUACGCGUGUCGCCGCCUCUUCCCCUCCGCCGCCGACACCGCUGCCGCAAGCACCACCGCCACCACCGCCACGAGCCCUAAUCGCCUCCCCAUCUCCUCCCCACAAACGAAUUCAAGACGCACAGAAAACCUAAGCGGAAGCUGAUACGAGCUCCGAUCUCGUCCUCCGACGCCGCCGAUCCUCCUCUACUCCCAUUCCCCCGAUCUCCACCACCGCAAGAGGGAGCGCAGGGCGAGAGAGAGAAGAAGAAGGGGAGGGGAGAGGGAGCGACUGCUCUCUUCAGAGGAAGCGCCUGAAAAGAACUAAUUUGUAAUAUAAAAAGGAGAACUUUGCAUGAAGGCCCCUGGACAGUUUCAUAUUUACGUAAAAAAAAAGAGAUGCUUGGUCCUUAAGUUUUGGUUUAGGUUGGACCACAUGAUUGGCAUGAUAAGAUUAAUGGCACAAGUUAGCCUGCAUUGUUUUUUCUUUUUUUUUCUUUUGAUGAAAGUUAGAGUGUGUUGUUACAUGCAUAUUGGAUGUUCUAGAAAUAUUUUGUUUAAAGUAUGAUCGGUAAGAUGAUCAAGUUCUUCGCAAUGAUUACUUAAAAUAGAAGUAUUUGUUUACUUAUGUUCGUAUGGCUAACCGGACUUAAUUUAGGUUAUCGGCCAUCCUUGGUGUUUUUAUGAAGAAUAAUACCUAAUUUAUUCUUGUAUCUCAUUAUUUAUAUUUGAUUAUACACACAUGCACAUACUCAUGCAUGUAUCCAUGGAUUUGUAAUACAAUCAUUGAAUGACCUUACCACAAAGACAAGUUGGCGCCCUCAAAUAUAUUAGAUAAUAUUUCAAGGAUAUGCGCCUUUGUAACAAAAAGUUUUGCAUUCAAAAUUUGCAUCCCAAAACUCUUAGGCCCAAAUCCAUCCUUCAGUGGGGUAUGGAGGGCACAAGUAUUUGAGCUAGAGCUCUCCUAUUAGGGUUGUUGCCCAUAAACUUCUUUCUACCCCAAACAAAAGAAAAGAAAAAGAUUUAACCUUUUUAAUUAGAUUUAAAAGACUAACAUAUAUUCCUUUUGGAAUAUCCCAUAAACGUGUAAAACAAAUUGUUUAAUAUACCCUCAAUGCAUAAUGUAGGCUACUUUAGUAGUGUGUAUAGGCUUAAAUUAGUAUAUGAUAUUAGGGCUCGUUUGGUUCGCGGGAAGCAUUUUCCCCCUAGAAAUAUGAUUCCUGGGAAGAAGAUUCCUAGGAAGAGAAUGCCUGGGAAUGUACUUUUGGCAUGUUUGGUUUAACAUGGAAAAGUAACAAAUUUUUAGAGUGCUUAUGUUUGGUUGACCAUCCACUUUCUUGGGAAAGUUAUGUGUAAUUCCCAUAAUACCCUUAAUAAAAGUUAGGUCUUUAAUGCCUAUUUAAUGNNNNNNNNNNNNNNNNNNNNNNNNNNNNNNNNNNNNNNNNNNNNNNNNNNNNNNNNNNNNNNNNNNNNNNNGAUGGAGUGAUUCCCGCCUCAUGGGAAAGUAAUUUUUCCAUGUUUCUCAUGGAAAAGACUUUCCCAUGAAAUGUGGGAAUCAUAUUCCCAUGGGAAUACAAUUUUUCCAUCUCUCUCCUUUGAAAACUCCAACCAAACAAGGGCAUUUUAUUUUUUUCGUUGACCACACUUUUCCCCCUUAUUUUUCUGCGAACCAAACGAGCUCUUAAUUUCUAACGUUGGACAGAUUGGUUACAAUGUGUUUGUCGUUUAUAUAUCACAAGUUUUACUCAAGUAGAAUAGUGGACAUUAGGAAAAUAUUUCUUUUUUCAUUGAUAUACUUGCACAUAUAAUCAAGUGAUAGUGUAGAUGUAACCGUUUUAUAACUAAAUAUCAAGUGAAAGACAGAAAAUUAUUCAGGAAAUAGGAAUCAUGCAACCUAGUAGACUACAGAAUUAGUUACAGAAUUAAGUGAUUUCUAAUAACCCAACUUGAUUAACUUAAAAAUGACUGGAUUUAAAAGUUUUGAUGGGAUCUGGUGUUCUAGAGUUGGUAUGAUCACACAUCUUGAUUAACUUCAAAAUGAUUUGGAUUUGUUUCUUAAUAAAAAAAAGGAUUGUAUAAUCUUGGCAAAAUCAAUCAUAGAUAUUCUGGUGAAAAAAUAAAUAAAUACAAGUUCCGACAAACUUAAUUUAGAGAUAUAGUUUCACUCGAUGUGCAACAUUGAUAAGUUUCGCUUGGCUUGCACAAUGAUUUAGUCCAGCCUAACUCACCCACCAUACUUCAACAUUAGCAUUCGGCAUGUAUGGUGCAUGAGAGAAGUAUGGAUAGUAAUAAUCUUUAUAUUUUUGAUAAAUAUAAUUUUAAUUUUUGAUCGGCACGCACCUUCAUUGAGAAUAGAGAAGAGUUAGAACUUAUUUUGAGGGGAAGAUUUUGAUAUUUUCUCUUAUUUUGUCCUUGCUAGACUAAGAAUUUAUAUCCAUUUAAAUCUAAUCACAGAAGCCAUGAUAGGCCGGUGGCCAACCCUGAUGGACCCAUGCUACAGUAUUCCCUAUUCUAUAUAACCAUAGGCCGGAUCCGCUUUGAUACUAUUUUGUCGCAACUCAGAACCCCACUCAAAAAGACUAAUUGGAAGGUAUUAUUUAGAUUCCUUAAUUCUGUAUAAGUACUCAAGAUCCACCAAGCGAAUAACCGAUGUAGGACUAAACGCAUAUCUGCACGGGUCCUCACAUACUCCUUUUAUUUAAACCCUGAUGUCCUCGUUAGGCUAAGAAUCCAAAUCUAUUCAAAUUUAAUCACAAGCACAACGAUUGGCCCGUGGUCGCCUUAAUGAGCCUGUGCUGCAGUGUCCUCUAGUCCAUAUAGGUUAUAAGCCGGAUCUGUUUUGAUACUAUUUUAUUUGCUAAGAUCUCACUCAAAAAAGAUAGCCGAAAAGUAUAUGCCGCUACACUUUGAGAUAAAAAUGGUUAAUCUUCUAUCUCGCAUGCAUUAUUAAGAAAUAUUCUUUAUUCCAUGCAAGAAAACACCAUGUCCAUCCUAAAAGGCCCAAAAGAGUUUUUUAGACAUGCUAGCUUCAAAUUAACACUAUAAUCUUCGUGUGUUGCACCAAAAUACAAGAUUUAUCUUCUUUCCAAGGAUGUCAUCAGUAGAUGUUAGCUCACCUAGCUUUUACCUUCCUCUCCAUAUAAGAGAUCUCAGUUUCAAAUUAUGGUGGCGACCUAUUCUCAAAAAAAUUCCUUCCAAAAAUGUUUUGGAGUACAAGAACCUCUGUAAGAUUAAUGGUGGAUUUUUUCAGAUUAUUUUCACCUAGGUAUCACUAUAUAUAUUCAUAAGAUUCAGUUUAGAUUCCUUAAAGAUAACUGUUCCAAUAAUCUGUGGGAAGAAAGGGUCAAGGAAUAUCCUAUCAUCAUGAUGGAGAUGUGUCCGCAUGCCUGAUGAAUAGAAAAAAGGUCGCCAUGCAACCAUGGUUUUAUUAACAUGGCAUCUUCCUAAAUAUCAAUGAAGCUUCUCGGAUAUGACAAUUACAAGACUAGAUAUAAUAUAGGCGUGCAAAAGAUGGGGAUGCAAGGAUGGAUGCAUGCCAAGCUAAAAUAGAGAGAAUCAUUCAAAAGAAUGGCUAAGAAGGACAACAGAAGGGACAAAGUCAAUGACAAAUUAUUUUAAAAAAUGAAGGCCAAAAAACGCUUAUCAAUAGUCACCAAUAUCUACCAUGAAAACCAUUCCUAUUUUUAUUUACAACAUAAAGAGCAUGGUGUUUUUUUUAUCUCUUUUUCUUUCGAUUGGAAGAGAGACAAAACCACCUGAUUUAUUAAAGAAGAGAAGAAAAGUAUGAGACAAGCAUCUAAUAGGAUAUCUUAGAUUAUUUCGUAUCUAUGUGUCCGUAAAUUGUGACAAGAUUAAAUCCUAGAGUAAUAGCAAGGAUAGUGAGGGAAUAAAGAACCAAAAGUUAUCCGUGGUGCUACUCGGAUUUGAUGACUUUCGGCGCAAAAAGACAAGCAUCCUGGUCGGGAAAUAAUAAAGAGUGGACAAGCAUGAAAGAGAAAAAGAGCGGCUGUUCCGGAGAAGAAGAUGGAGGUCUAUGUUCGCUUUCUAUUUGCUUUGCGUCUGUGCUUGGUUAUGGGAAUAAGAAAAGUGGAAUAAGAAUAAUUCUGCUUAUUGAAAUAGUUAUAUUCCAUUUCUAAUUAUUGUUCGACUAUGAUCCUUGAAUAAUUUUUGAUAGAAAAUGCUUUUGUUACUUGAAAAGUGGGAAGAAAGAGCUUUAAAUAAGAAAUGAUUUAUGACAGCUUUUUCUUGGAAUGAUUAUUUUGCCCCUAUCCAUUUUUUUAAAUACACCAAAGAGUGGAAGGGUAAUUCAGUCCUUAUGAUCAAAAUUAGUGAGGUAACCGAUGCAUUGAUUUAUUCUCUCUCUACUUUUUUUCUCCAACCAAAAGUCGAAAGAAAAUCUAUCCUGUGGAAUAGCUUAUCCCUUCUACACUACAAGGGGUAUCCCUUCAAAACUUAUUCCCUCUACCAAACACGCAGCCUAUCCUCAAUGGGUACUCUUAAUUGCAGGAUAAGGGGGUAUAAGGUGGUUAAAUAUUUUAUGUUUGGAUAAAUAAUUUUUAUCCAUGAUUACAUUGUGCCAUAGUGCAACUAACAUUGCGAUGACUAUUUUUGGAUUAGAAGACUAAUACGGCCUUAACUUUUUGGUUGCCUUUUGCUAAUAAAGGAUCACUUUGAUCCUUCCAAACAUAUGGAUGGGAUAGGCUACUUUAAGCAUAGGAAUGUUGUCCCCUCCUCCUUGACAUGGACUACUUGAGCAUCCUCCACCAUUGUUAUGAUACCCAUCAAAUUUUAUGUUUGUUGCAGAUUAUAUACUUAUAUUCUAUGUCACAAGCUCAAAACACAUCAAAAUGGGGAGGGAUGCAAAGAUUAAAAAAGAAGAUAGCAACAUAAAAAGCAUGCAAAGCAUGUGUGAUUGCAAAAUAAUAUACAGUAGAAUUGUCUUCACCGAAGUAGAAUAAACUACGUUCUACUGGAUGUAUUCGUACCCGCAUGGCAUGAUACACCUGUUUCAGCAAAAAAAAAAAAAGUAGAAUAAACUACCUGCCACUUUGGAGGAAUGAGAUCUAAUGCCAAUGGGACAGGAUGCCCUAGUUCAUCGCUACUGUGUUUUUAUGGAAAAGCUCAUCGAUGCAGUAAACCAACAUAAUUAUCAUUGUGUUUUCUCCACCAUAUGCAUAUUAUGCAAAUAUAUUUCAGCAGGUAAGGCAAAAAACAAUGAACUUCAUAAGCCAGUUUCCAGGAAUUUUUAUUGUGAGGCUUCGUGCGGAGAAAGCAGCAGCUCCCAAAAGAAACUAGUUGGUUCAAAGUGGACAAAUCAAAGUGCUCCAGCAGUUGCAGAGAUCAGAGGGCAGCUUCAGUGUGUGCAUGGUAGUAUCUCGCAUGUCCAUUGCCAUGGCUGAUCAGUAGAAUAUUUCACUUCUGGGCCUGGAACAUCCUUUGCAUGGGAAGCCUUCAAUAAUUCAUAUGCAUGAGAGAGAGAGAGAGACUUGAAUCAAUGUUCAUGUUCUGUAAUCACAUUCUGUUGAGUCAUCCUGGCCCAGUCACAAGGCCAUCAAUCAGGUUUUGCCUGCCAUCAUCAGCCAUCCAGAUCAUCUUCGCGCGGUACCACCCAUCAUUCAGGUCUUGCAUAAAGCUUCACCCAAACCAUUCGUGUAAAACUUGCUUGCCAAUCUAGAAGGUUUAACAAUGAAGAAGAUAUUCUCAGUAGGUAUGAAUAAAAUAAUGAAAAGAUGAAAAUGUUUUCAAAUAGAGAUAAGCUAGAGUAAAAAUGGCAUCCCCUGAUUCAACAAUUCAGCAUGCAUGCAUGCAUGCAUGCGUGGAAGCACGAAAGGAGGUUGAUGUCCCAUAAGAAUUAAUAUAGGAGUUAAUGAAGCGAAAUUAGCACUUCUAAAAUCAGUAUGAUCACCAUUCAUUAAAGGGGAAAAAUAUCACUAUGAUCAUUACAGGAGAACAAUCACAAACAUAUCCUAUUAGAAAUCAUAAAACAAUUUUUUUUUAAAGUCCAGCAUUGCAUCUGCCCUUCACUAGAUGGAGGUUGACUAAAAUUCGGGUUCAGUAUUUUUUUUAAUUGUAGAUAAACAAGAAAAUUUGCUCUGCAUUCCUCUACAAGAACCAUCAAUUCAAUUAAAAAAAAAAAUCAAAAGGCAAAGCACCUUAACUUUCUAGAAACUAUAGUUCAAAGGCAAAUUAUUUAAAAAACAGCAUUCUUAUACAUAUAUUAUCGCAUGCAGCCCAAAUGUGCACAACAGUUCAAUAGGCCAUCUCCUGGAUGGACGAUAAGCCUGAAAAUCAUAUUGAAUGGCUGAUCCUAUCCAUUCGAAACUCGGUAAUAUCAUUGAUCGUUAAAUGAAAUUAAGGCAGGAUGACCAUCAAGUAGUUCGAACACCUGAUAAAAUCAAUUCAGGCACCUGCUAAACCAAGACACAUCUAGCUAUUCUUGGCCAGUGAACCUCGAAAGUUACUUCAUGUAGCAUUGCAGAGCCCAAAAUUUCUGUAAUGAGGAAUUGAUGACAGGAAGAAGGGAAAAGAUUCAGGUGCUCUGAUCUCACCUGGUAGCAUCGUUUAACAGAAAAGCGAAAAACUGGCCACAAGUAUGUCCUCCUCUGGGUCAUACCUGCAGACAAUUUUUUCAGAAUUUAGAACUGCUUCCUCCCAUUUAACCACGUGAAAUACCAUACUAGAGGGUAUCAUUACAGGAAAGAAAUAUUUUCAUUUUAACUGCAGAUACCUGAGCACCGUGCAAAACAAAUCGCACCUUCGAGUGAAGCAAGCCAUCCAAACAGAGGUGAUUCUAGCAACCAGCAAAGUAUGGCAGUCAACCUAAAGAAUAAUAAUUAUGGCAAUCAGGCAAAAUUUGCAACACCUGUGCCUCCCACAAUUAAAAGUGCAGCCAAGCCAGUACCACUCAGACAAGAAAAAUGGCUACUCAUGAUCCAAUAUCACUCCUCAUCAACAAUACUAGGGAUAAUUUUUGGAAGUAGCCUGAAUGUUCCCAUUGAAGUUGGAGCACAAUUACCAGAAAACUGUGAUAUCUCAUUCUCCAGCACAGAGUAAGCAUCAGCAAAAGCCUGAGACCAAUUAUUUAGGUGAUGAGAUAUAAUUCAACAAAUCAUUCUUACAAUAAAAUUAACUUAGAUAUGGUAGACGAAGAUCAUCAGUGUUAAUUCUCAAGUUAGAUGGCCCUAUACAUAUUUUAUGCUAGUAGGUUCAACCCUACUAGCAGGAAUACUCAGUACAGCCAACUGUAUGUAUACAAAGACAUGGAGUCGUCAUUAUCAUGAUCAUCCAAAGCUUUGCCCACUAAAAAUAGGGUCAGCUAUGGAGCACAACUUUUGGCCAAAAAGAUUUGAUAGAAGAAUUAAGCAGACCUUUCAGCCAGUUGUCAACUAGACAUACAACCAUCAAGAAAACGGUGUAAAAUUCUUGACCAAAUCAACUUUAGUCCAGAGAAGUUAGCUGGAAAAGUUUGAAGACCUGAACCUGGAAGGCUGGUCAGAAGAAUAUUGUGUAAAUGUUACACAAAAAUGUUUUGUUUUGUCAACAGAGCUAACCAAAGAGCAACCCUUGGAAUAUACGAGCUAGCUCUGGCCUUAAAUAGUUUUUUCAGACCCUGUUUCAGUUCCACUAAGGUUGCUUGUGAACUGUUUUUAUCACUUAUUUCCAUCAUUUCAAGAACUAUUUUAGUUGAAACUUUUAAACUUCCUCAUUAAGGAACAAUUUAGACAAUUUAGAAUUGCCUCAGUUGGCUGAAAAUGAAUCAUACUUAGAUAUAAGGAUUGGCAAAAAUCAAAAUUUUAGAGCUUAUAUAUGUACAGCAGUGGCACGGAAAGACAUGGGGAAGCUUGGAAUAAUAUCAGAUGUAGCCUUAAAUAGGAAUACUUGGCGAAUGCGGAAUUGUGAAGCCAAACCCAAAAAGUUGGAAAAAGGUUUGGUGCUUAACUGCUUAUGGUUAUGUAUAUUACAGCAGUGUAUUGAAACAUUAAUAACUUCUUGCAACUUGCACAAGAGAAAGUUAACUUGAUCACAACGGUGAUAGCACACUUGCAACAUAUGGACUAGCUUUUCCAAAACAGAUUGGACUAACAAAAUCAUCAAUUCCAUACACAGCAUGAAAAAGAGAUGAAACCAUUUAGCAACAAUUAAUUGAUUACUCAUAUGUAAAUUAGUUACACCAUAAGUAAUAAAGUUAUGAUAAGUUGAAAUGACCAAGCUAUGUGACCCUGUAGUUAUGAUCUCAGAAUUGGAGGAUUGGCCACCCACUGUCAUACACAAACAGAACUUUGCAAUCUAAAACAGGAAAAUAAAAAUAGUUUGGUAACAAUAAAAUAUCCUGUCGGAUAAUUAGGAAAGACUCAGCCCUUUCUGAAGAAUCAAGACCAAUGAACACUGUCUGAGCUGAAUGACAGUUGGCAGAUUUCAGAAACUUUCCUGAAAAAAAAAAUAUGCAGAAAAAUGUCCAAAUUUCAACGACCAUGUUAGUUGAUUAAGGUGCUAGCAUGCAUCAUUUUUGACGACUAUCCUAAGAGCCUCUUCUUUUUUGUCACAUUAGGGCCACUAGGUAUAUACCAAAGAUUGAGCAAAUAUUUGGAAUGACAUCACCUAAAGCAGAGCAACAAUAUUAUUAUCUUCUUCUCCUUAUUCCCAGAAAAAUUAAGCUGCCAAAAUUGAGACCACAGUCAUAUUACAUGACUAUGGCUUUAAGAAAUCUAACAAAUAAUGGAUGAAGUAGUGAAUAUUCAACUAACCUUAAUGCACUGGUGUAUACGAAAGCAAUUCCUCCCUACAUUGUUAGCCGGACAGAGAGGAUCAUCGAUAUGAAUUGGAUCAAUGCUGCAAAACUCACAUAACGAAAUGAUUCAGAUAUUAGCAUCCAAUAAAAAUAUAGGAGGUCAUGUUCAAUCCUAUAAGUGAUUCUCAAACCUGAGCCCUCUUUCUCGAUUCAUAUAAACUCCACUUCCUUGAAUUGAAAUACGCAUUUGACGUGGGUCAAAAACAUUCCUAAAGUCAUCAAAACAAAAUAUGAUGUUCAGUGAUACAUUUGACUCUCCGACUAGCCUGAAACCAGCUAAUUGAAUCAUACAUCAAUCUUGCAACACAGUAGAAACUAAGUUGCCUAUCUCUGUAUAUAGCUAAAAAGAAAUUGCAAGCAAUUUUCCCUCACCCAAAGAAGUAGAGAAAAUCCAUCAAAAGGCUACCCAGGUUCUGCAAACAACAAGUGAUUUAAAUCAUACAGCUGAAGUUGAAUAUGAAGAUCAUUAAAUGCGAAGAAUUAAAACCACAGUCAAUCAGGUGCAUAACAUAUACUUAAAUUUGUAGCCAGUGGCAGACAAGCAGGAAAACAGAAACAAACAAGAAAAGUAAACAUGAGUAUUACGUAGCAGUUAAGUUGUUGUCAUCUCAUCUUUGUGCCAUCCAUGGAUACAAAAAUUACAUAUCAUCAGACACCAAAGGUUAGGUUUUUUUUAAAAAAAAGAAUCAAACAACUCAAUAUAACCUAGGAGAAAUCUGCCUUUCUUUGCAAAAACCUUGCCUCUUUACCUUAGAAGCCUUGUCACCAAGGAUCCAGCAACUUUUGUUCUGUCGUUUUGAUAUUCUAACUCAUAGCACAGCAUUUCUUCUACUCAGAACCACCAGCUCACAUAAAAUCAUGUUAUAGAUGCACAUUUUGCACCCCUUGCCACUGGCGAAAGGAGUUGUCUAUGGAUACUCUCUAAAACAUGGAGCGGAUGCAAAAGUGACUUAAUAAUAAUCAGCCUCCCACGAAGAAACAGAAGCUUGGCUUUUUAGUUAGAAAAGCACCUCAUGCCUAUCAUAUCUCAAACAGUCAUGUCCCAAAUACCUCAUCCAAGGCAAAGGCCCAAGUAGAACAUGCAAAAUUUUCUCCAUAGAACUGAAAAACUGCUCCAUGAGAAUGAAUUAUCACAUAGAAAAAGAAACAAGCAGAAGUCCAGUAUUUUAGUGCUUGAGAGCUUCUUAUCAUAUACUUUCCACUGUGUAUAUAUAAAAAAACUUUUCAGAUCUAGCAUGAUGCUAACUACGAUAUACAAAUGGAACUUAUAAAUUACCCAGUUCCAAAGGAAAUCAAUCAUUGGUUCAAUGUUGGAGAUGGACAUGUGGAUAGUAACAUAAAUAAAGUAAUUAUACAGACUGGUGUUUGAUGUCAAACCAUGCUCAGCAAACCAUUGGAAUUACAUGCAUGGACAAUUAGAUAUAUAGAACACCAUCAACAGCGGUGAAUUAUUUCCCUUACUAUUGUAGCUAACAAAAAGGUACGAGCUUUACCUGGUUAAUAGGCCGACCAAUAUGGUAUUCAUGCUGAAGAAAGCGUAUAAUUAGCAACACCUGCACAAAGUCCAUAACAACAUAUUAGGGCAAUUACCACCUUAAUACAAUAUAUAUUGAGUAGUUUUAUGCCUCUUUUCUAAUAAACAGCUAAACUCUGCAUUGCAUUAGCUCCCAAAAAAGAAAAAACAUUUUUGUUUAGAUCAAGGUCCGCCGUACCGGUACCGGUCGGCGUACCGGUGGCGGGCCGGACCGGUACGGUACCGGUCCGGUCCGGUACGUACCGGCCGGUAUCGGUACAGUACCGGCCGGUACCGCGAGCCAAAAACCACAGCGCCUCGCGCUGUGGUUCAUAAAAAAAAAAAAUUCGUACCGGUGCGAACCGGCCGGUUCGCACCGGUAUGAGGCCGGUACCGACCGGUACGGGCUCCGUACCGGCCGGUUCGCACAAGAAAACCGGAGAUACCGGUUUUCUUGUGGUUCCGGUACCGGUCUAGGACCGGACCGGCCCGUACUGGCCGGUACGGGCCGGUACGGCAUUCCAUGGUUUAGAUCAUUGAGGAGUUUAAAGUCUGUUCAGUUGCAUGAAAAUCCAUGGAAAAGGAAAUGCGAGGCUUUUCCACAGGAUUUUUUUUUCUGAGUUCUGGCGAUAAACUUUCCAAACUUAUCAUUUUUUCCAGUUGAAACAAACAAAAAGAAAACAAGAAUCUCCUAGAAAAAUAAGUUUUCCAAGCACUUUUCCUUGCAACCAAACAAAUCUUAAACAAAAAAUUAAGGAUAAAAAUUGAUUAUUGUCCAGUCCAAGACUUACACUACCUCAGGAAUUCAUGAACCAUGAUUUAUGUUAUGGUGAUGUCACAAAGCAAAAUUAGGUUCCCAUAACAACAAACUGUUCAUGUGUCCAGAAAGAGCUAAAAAUAUUUCAAAAUAAUUACAAAGAUAUAAAAUGUUCGAAGAGUUAAUAGGAACAUUUUAAAAUGUAGAAUAUUACCAUCAGUAACAAGACUUUUAUUCAAAUAAAGGACAGCAUAGAGGCUUCACAGGCAUUAUUUUUUAGAUCACAUGCUCUGAAUCUUUUUUAGCGAUGUUACUCUUAAUGCUUGCCAUUCAACUAAUGUGGUUAGAUCUCUUUAUGCUAAACUAUUGAUGCAGUGACGCAGUCAGAUACAAAGAGAGAUAAAAAGGGGCUUGGAGCAGACCUAUUUUGGGUCCUAAACAAGGUCAAAUAUCCAGAAAAUAAUUCUGCAGAUCUUUGAAAAAAGAAUAGCAUGUAAAAUAUGGCAACCUGAUAUAUUUUGUAGUUUUAUAUUUGACAGAGCACUUGACUAUGAUUAUGCGAGGUUUGAUGGACCACAUCCUCAUAUCUUUAUCUAGCCUUCAAGAGACCUGAUUAAAUAUCAUAAAUCCUCAUUGCUCUCUCAUCCAUCUAGAAUACAUUAUUGUGUUUCUUUCAUCAAUUCCUUAGCACAGAGGCAUAACAAAUUGAUUGUUCUGAUCUUAAGUUUUCCUUCCUAGGCUACUAGUAAGACUCUAAACAGUGUUACUACCAGUAACUUCUAACUGAACGGAAAAUUAUUGAUAGAUUUUGUGGAGUCCAAUUUUCCUACUCCACUUCCAGUCAUGACACACUCUUUAUUCUUAUGAUUUCCAACUUUCAUCUACUACUCAAGGUCAGACUAAGGCCAUUAAGUAUACUACUGAUCAAAGACCAACAGAGGUGGACAACUCCAGUCUUCAGCCUUUAGCUACCCAUUCGAGUCAGAGGUCCAAGCAAUGACAAUUCAUCAGUUUGGUAAGCAAGCAAGCAUGUAAAUAGUAUCUUAUUUCAAAUUGUGCCCUCCAAGCAACAACUCUCCACAUAAGAUUCCUUUAUAGUAAGCAGAGGUUAGAGUGUUUUUUUUGGGUAUAUGCAGUUAAGCAUUCCCUUUAUGGAACCAUUGACAGGCUCAGAAACCAGAAUUGGUGACCGAGGCAAAGACAUAUGGUGUGAGUGAUAUGUAAAUGAAAAAUGAAGUGAUACAAGCUAAGAGGACUAGGGCUUUUUUUUCUUUUUUUUGGGUUGGGUGGGAGGCUUGACCUUUCUGCUAAGUCAAAAAGAUAACUGAUUCUCCACUUAAGAACAAUAAUAUCAGAAAAUAUAAAAAAUAUUCAAGGAAAACUAACAGCACAAAAUUAUUGCAGUCCAAUUGAACUUUUUUCAUGUUCAUUGGGAAAUUAUUUUUUUUAAUAGAAUGGCAAAGAAAAUGCAGCAUAACUUACCAAACAGUAAGAACUCAAAGCACCCGAAUAAGACUGGUCCAAACUACGAUCUGACAAAAACUUCUUCAGUAUCAAAGCAAGGGGUCCAGCAGCAGGAAACUGCUGAGUGAGCUCUCUAACCUGCAAAUUAAAAUUAAUAUUGAAUUUAUGCUAGACAUAAUAAUCAUUGUUAUGCCAUUACAAACUUUAAUGGUCAUCCUUCACACUUCAUUUGUCUGAAGGGUCAUAUCUAUACAUGGCAUGACCAGGUACAGAUUGACUCCAGUUGCUUCAGGUUCUCUAAGUGCUUUAAAGCUCAUGGCAUUACUAGGUCCCAAUUGAGUCCCCUGUUUGGGUCAAAUGUCAAAUUGUCAAAUAACAAAAUAGAUCAACAAGCUAUUGCACCACACUGGAAUCAAUGCCUUAUUGACGAAGGCUUGGGAGUACACCAUAACCAACAUAUUCAAAACUCCAUCAAACAACAUAAAUAUUGUUAUUAUGUAUACAACAUUAUCUCUGUCUCAAGCUGUCCACAGUCAUCAUCAACCCUGCCCCUCCAACCACACCACUCAGCCUUCCCCUCCCCUCUCUUUCUCCAAAUGAGCAAGAAAAUGAUCCCAUAGAUACCCAACAACCACCUGGUUUCUGACCAGACACCUGAUUUAUCAUAAGUCCCUCGUUACAGACGUGUAGUCCACUAUCAAAUACGUCUCUCUCUCUCUUUCUCUUUAAAUGAGACCGAAACAACCCAACUGAAUUCAAUAGCUAUCCAGUAGCCAAAUCAAAUCCACUAUCAAAUGUGAUGUAGGAUUGUAAUUUAGGUUUGAGUUUGGGUUCCCAAUUGAAUUCAAUAGCUAUCCAGUACCCAAAUCAAAUCCACUAUCAAAUAUAAUGUAGGAUUGUAAUUUAGGUUAGAGUUUGGGUUCAAUUAUGGUUAGAGAUGGAACAGGCCCUAAGCUGGCCUCUGCCCACCCCUAGAUAUGGUAAUGGUGCCUAAGAGUGACUGACACUCAAGCUUAGGCUCCAUAAUCUUUAAUAUUCAUUAAGUUCAAACAAAUUGAGCAUGCAUUGUCACCCACUUAACCUAUAGAGAUAUGGGUUCAGUAAUAUAACAAUCUCUUCCUCCAUAUAAUUUAAUAAAUAAAUAUUCAUAAAAAAUCCAAUCACAAAACAAUUAAAAGUCCAUAAGUUGGUAAUGAAGCAAAAAUUGGAUUUAUUACAUCAAAAUAGUUUUUUCAUUACUUAAAAAGUAUAUGCCAACUGAGAAAAUCAACUUGCCUAGAUCAAGUCCAACAUUUUAGUUUGUACCAUAAAUUCUCGACUUCCACUAAAAAACAAAGAAAACUUAUCCAGAAAAUAAAAGAAAAACACUAAAAGUUCACCUCAAGCCAAUUUGUCAGGCCAUCUAAAGUGUAGCUCACCACAUAUAGUCACAAAUAUGUUCCAAAAACACAGACAAAACUAUAGUAUGACAAAUAGCAUUCCCUUAAUUGCAUACUCAAAAAGCGUAAGACCUCACAUCUAAAAGAAGGAAGAAAAUCCAACAUAAAAAAAGGAAACGAACUUAUCUGCAAUCAACAAAUUAAAAAAUGUUGAAAAGCUAUGGAUUACCAGUUCAGAAGUUUCAAGUCCUGUGUGUGAUGGUGACUUGAAGCUGAUAUCAAGACGAAUUGAUUUCUCAUCAACAGCAACAUCCUUUUUCAUUUUUGAACACAUUGGCCAAGAGGUAUUUGCUGAACUAGACAGAUCUGGACAAGGGAUGCUUUGCUUUCCAGGCAUCUUGGUUGAAUGUGCUUCUGGUGUCUCCACAAUGGAAGAAUUGUCAUUUGAAAGACUAAUGUCAUGAGGAACAUCUGCCACAAGCAUGAUGACAGGUAUCUGGACACCACAAAUUUUGAUAAAGUACAUAAGUUGACAGUGAGAUGAGAGAGUCCAAGUGUCAAGAAAAGAAAGAAUUGGAAUUAUUUUAAGAAAAAACAUGAGAAAGAACGAGGCAUAACUGCAGUGUUUUCUAUUGUUUUUAGGGAGUCAUUUCUAACCCACUCUUGGUUUGCAAGGUACCUAGCUGCAUGCUGGAACAAAACCAGAAGAGUAAGCAGUACGUGAGAAAAGCCACAGAACAGAUUCUAAUGAGAAGCAUUACUUCAAGGAAGCAACAAACAGAAUCUCAAAAUUCUAUUCACUUCAGCAACAUAGUCAAUGGCUAUAUCUCAAAAUUUUCAACUAAGCUACACCUAGGGAAAGACACAGGUGUCCUGACAAUUGUUAUCCAUAAUCUAUCAUUUCUCAAAAAUGUAGUAUCAUGGUUCUAUGGAAAUUAAACUCUCUUCUGUGAGUCCCAGUAAAUGACAAUAUGCAAUGGAAAACUGUGGCCGUAGAGCAUGAAGAGAACAAAUGAUUUUCUGUUAGCGGUUUCCAACAAUCCAAAAUUCUAACCAAAUGUACUAAAUCUUCAAAAUAUAAAAGGUCAGCUGACAUUCUUUAUCGAUUAUCUAUGAAUACUUGUAUCUAUGGAAAAAGUUGAACCUUGAUUUAUAAUUGAGGCAGAAAAUAUAUGAAAAUUCAAAGAAGCAACAAAUGUUCCAAUGAAAAAACAUCUGGAUAUUGAUAAAUUGAGGGGAAAAUAGUACCUCUCAGAAGAGAUUUUUUUUUUUUGGGUACAAACUUCUCAGAAGAGAUCAAACAGAUGAAUUUUGAACAGCUUUAUUCAUCCAGAAAGACCAAAUAAUACAAUGUCAUUGGCCAGUAUAUCCUUAAGAAUAUUUAGCAUAAAGUAAACCAUUAAGGAAAAAUGCAAAGGCUUAGGUCUGCAAGUAAAAAACCUAAAAACUGAAGAAAUGGAUUGAAUUGGACAGAAAUCAACCGUUAUGAAAACUUUCGAUGAAGAACAAUCUUUUUUUUUCAUACACAAGAAAAAUCUAUUUCCGUAUGCCUCUUUGAAUUAAAGCAAAAUAGUAUGCACAAAAUGGGCAUUAAAAAGGCCAUGAUGUAGGAUUUACGAGGUAUAACCACAAAAUCAGGAUCACAAAAGGAUAGUCUUAAUUCCUGGUUUGAUGUGCCUUCAGGUUUCAUGUUAGAGGAAUGGUUAUGAUAAGUAGAUAAUUAUCAACUAGAACGACCACAGAUAUAAACAAUGACACAUAUGCAACAUAACUUGUCUGCACAGAAGCAAAUCAAGCAAGAUACCUGAAGGCAUGUUUCCUUGAUACCAUUGCGACCUUCCAAAAUUCCAGCUUCUGUGAUGGGUUCCUGACAAACAACUGCACUUGUUAAAUUUGAAGUUUCAACAGAAUCAACUGUACACAACAAUGAUGAGGAUUUUUCUUCAACUUAUGGUAUGUUUCUCACCAAAUUCCGUACUGGAGGGAGAGAAACCACGAGGUCCACAUCACUAGUUGGAAGAGCUAAACCAGUUGCAUUGGAACCAAAUAUAUUUGUCCGAGAGCGAGGCCAGAUUACCUGAAGAGAUCGUGUGACCCUCUUGACAGCCCAGUUAGUGUAGGGCUUCCUGAUCAGAUUCUCAGCAGCAACCUUCGAUUUACCAUUAAUGAUGAACCAGCAAUUACCUUGGAGUCAAGAUGAUAAAUACAAACAAAAAAAAAUUAAAAAUGAUAAUGCAUAGAGGAGUUAAAAUCUUGGUAGGCCUAUGAAGCUUAUUUGUGCUAAGGAUGUCUUUAUAUUUUACUAUUCAUGAACUAAUUGUAUAUGUAAGGUUCACUGUUCAACACACAUGCAUCUUGAGUAACGAUAUUAAAUGCCUACGCAAGAGCAACAGUACACAGUAGUGUGAUGUCCAAAGUGGGUAAGGCAAAAUUUAGAAUUUUUGAUAAAUAAAAUUUACAAAAAUUUGUCAAAACUGCCAUACCUGCUUGCAGAAAAGAUCAAUAUCCUCGUGAAGAAGAUUGUGCAUCAGAGACACAGAUGUCUUAUUAGAUGGACAAUUCAAUAAAUCAGGAGGUUGCAAUGGUAAGGCAACAUCUGGCUGCAACAUCAAAUUUUCAAUAAAAGAUCAUAACAUAAACAAACAAGAUAUGUGAGGAAAACUAUGAUGAUAUAGCCCAUACAUGUUCCUGAUCACGAGCUAGCUGGGAAAUUGUAAUAAGGUGAUCUUGCAACAAAGACCCGUGAAUAGAUUGCACCAUUGAAGAGGUAGCCAGCCCUUUGUUUCGCCAUGAAGGCCAAACAACUUCAGCACCAUCCCAACAAAAUCGAGUUUCCUCAGAAUUACUUUCAUCAGAAUACCAACUUCUCAUACCCCAAUGGCUAGGACUUGAGCUACCAGAUCUUACAACUGGAAAGCCCCUCUUUCUAGAUUCUCCAACUAGAGAAGGUGGAGGAGGUCGAGGUAGUCGAGGAACACAAAGUACCACUGGUGAUGGAGGCCGCUUGAUGCGAUGGGUCUCCCUCUUAGUAGUAGGUAUACAUGGGCUUUUAUGAUCAUGACCAACCUUAAAUUCAGAUCUCGAACCCCUCCUUGAUAUACUUGGAACAAUGAUCGGCCGCAGCAUUGAAUAUGGAAGUGUGUCCCCUUUCACUCCCUCAAAACCAUUAGGUGGAUUAUUCACAGAUAUUGAGGCUUUCUCUUCAGGACCAUCGGAUACUGAAGAUGAGGAGUUCAGUACCUUUCCAGUACUGUCAUUUCCUGGCAUAGCAUAACCAACAGACUGGUGUCCCGGUCCCAAUGGAUCAAAUGGUGAACAAAAUGGGGCAGCAGGUGGUGAGGGCAGACCAUUCGAAUUGUAGGAAGCAGAUAAUCCAGGCGUGCCAACCAUAUCAUCAACAGCUCUAUUCAUAUCUGCUUCAUGCCAAGCCCAAGCACUCUCUUCAGAACUGUGAGAAGGUGGGCGAGAGAAACCCGUUCCAACAUGUUCAGCAGGAUUCCAGUACAUUAUUCCACCACCAAAAAAUUGAUUAUAAUCCUUUCCAGAAAAUGCAUGAGUUUCAUAUUCUUCUACAGAAAACCAGCAGCUUUCAGUAUCAUCCACCAAAUCAGAAGUGUUUUUCAAAUCAUACAUAUCUAAAAUAUCCCCAGGAUGCUUUCUCUCAUUCUCACCGGAAGUCCCAUUAAUUUGCAGUCCAUAAGUAGCAAAUCCUGGGCAGAGUGAAGACUGCAUCCUUGGAUCAUAUCCAGAAUCAUAGCUUACAGUCACAGUCUGACUCAAUCUACUACAAGUUUUGACCAUAGGAGGCCAGUCAAAACUCAUGGGCAAAGUUAGAGAAGGUAAAAUUCGACUGCGCCCACCUUCACUUGAUGGCUUUCUUCCCUGAUGCCUGGAAGGCAGAAAGGACUGAUGAAAGUGACUGGGCCAUUUAUGACCAACAUCCUGAUGUAAUCUGUCUGUGGCAGCUGGGAGAUGCUGUGAAUGAACAGAUGUAAAAUCAGGAGGCGAUAUGGUAGGCCACUCAUAUGAAGUGCCUCCCAUGGAACUUGUGUGGUUUCGUACAUAAGAUUCACUACCAUUAUUCUCGAUUAUGGAACUAUUCUCAUCCAUAAUACCUUGAACCAAGUUUGGAGGAGCAACAUACUGUGAAUGGGUGUUAUUUAUAUCCUGGGUACUAUCAUGCUCAUGUUCCUUAAGCUCGAGUGUAGACACAGCAGGGCUCAUAACUUCACAUGCAGUAUUGCUACUGGAACAACUUAUGGAAGAAUUAAUACAAUUUACAAGUUUGUCACAACAAACAUUAAUGUUUCUCACAGAAGAUCCUGAAGAUAUCUGGGAGAUGCCUUCAGCCAUUUUAAUAGAAUUAUAGUCUUCUGAAUUGUUUGAACUCAUAUUACAUUCCACACCAGUAAAACAGAAAUCUGCAAUAGAAUGAGGGUCAGGAUCUAGCUGGAUGCUCAUCAUUUCAUUGUGAUUGAUGAAAUCAGGCUUAACAGAAGCAUCACAUAAAUUAGAAACAGGAGACAGACUAUGCCUGGCAGCAGAAUCAUUGGGGUCAGGUAAAGAUUCUGUCAGUUCACUUUCUGGAGCAACAGAUGUUACAGCAGUUUUCUUGUUAUCAAAUUCAGAAAAUCCAACUUUCACUAAGCCAGAAUUUUUUACUUUUAGCUCCUUUUCUUCCACCUUUUUUCUUACGUCUAUGGCCCUUGCUGUCAGCUAAACCUGCAGCAUGCUCCUUUUCUUCCACCAUUUUUUCUUACUUCUAUUCCUUUUUUGUUAACGGAGUUUCCCUCCCAGGAUCUUUCUUUGGAACACAAGGACUAGUUGUCCUUGCCUUCUGAUUAUCCACUACUGAAAGAGUGCUUUCUGGGGGGCAAAGCCCCGAGCUGCUAUCAUCUGCACAGUCUUCUCCACAUCCUUGAUCCUGAAAAUGACGUCAGUAAAUUAAUUAUCACUAAGUUGUGUCAGAAAGGGCAAAAAAAAAAGAAAAAAGAAAAAGGAAAAAGUUGCUGAAAGUAUGUGGAUACCAUAGAAGUUUUGUGUAAUGUUGAAUCAACCUUGGAUGGCUUAGAAGUAGAACUUAGCUUUCUUGAACUGCGACAUUUGUUCUUCCCUCUCCGACAACCAACAUUGCACUUCUCUUCACUUUUGUGUGGGAGGGCCUUUAACUUUACACCUCCCAUAAGUUCAAGUUUUAUAUAACUAAUGGAAACAACCAUGAGGAGUCUUCGCAGGUUUCUUAUUAUACAAUCAGAAAUGGUGUCAAGAGAUUCUAAUGUGCUGAAAAAUAAUGCCUUGUCUUCAGAUUCACUAAGCCAACAUGUUAAAAAAGUAGAUAUCUCCUGAACCACUAGCAAUCUGUUCAAAUAAUUGGUCAGGAUUCGUGGUCUUCUAUGAGAUGGCACAGUGAUGAUAUCCAAGGACAAAUCUAGAUUCCUUCUGAACAAUGACUUCUUCACCCUUUGCCAAGAUGCCAUAGGACCAUAUCUUAGUUUCAGUUCAUCUUCAAGUUUACAGAAACAAAAUUCAUUCCUCAAAGCAUUGUUUGACCCUUUAACAAUCUCAUUUGCCUGAAGAGUUACAAUGUUCAAAUAUUAGCAAUUAUUGAUGCAUAAAAAGAAAGAUGUUUACCAGCAAAGCGCCAACGAUAAUAAGCUGAAAUUCAUCUCAUUGAUAAAAUACGAGAAAUCAAGAUAAUCUCUGUAGUUCCACAUAAAAAUUGGCACUUUUCUUCGUUGUGUCGAUCAAGAGUUGAAGAACCAAUGCCGAUACCUUACAGGUAGGGUAUAGAUCAGUAUAAUUGGUUAUUGUGUCAACAGAUAGUAUGCCUCUUGCUGCCAGCACAAGAAAAAUAAGAUUAUGUAACAUGUAUUGGUACAGUAUCAAGAGGCAUAUUGAUACCAGUACAGUGAGGUAUGGUUAGUACCACCAAUACUUAAAUCCUUGGCCGGUCAUUGACAUGAGGCAAAAGAGUGGAUUUAGGCACAAAACAAGGAGAAAAUGCUUCUCUCCGCUUAUUCUUUAUCAAAUUAAUAAUAAGCAUCAUGAUUUUCACUUCUUUUUUUCGGACAACAAUUUGAAUCUUAAUCUGAUUUCUUUGGAAAAAGUAUAAUAAGUCUCUUCAGAGUUAACUUUGAAUGAUAGAUAAUUGCAAGCUGACAACUUUUUACAUGAUAGAUUUCUUCACUCAUAGACUAAUCCUGUGACUUCAUGUCUUACUUUAUCAAUAAAUUUAUAUAUGGGUAAAGAGGAAGCUUUAAACCAAGUAUAAGGUAAGUCUGCUAUAUCAGAGAAAGGCUCUCAGAUCUCAUCCACAGAAGUUUAAAGAAGCAUCAACAUCCAAUAUAUUUACCACUCAUAUUUCAUGAUAGAUUGCCAGUUUACAAAAGAAUGAAACCUAUGAUCCAACACCAGAAGAUCCUUUUCUCGGCAAGAAAUUCCCAAAAAUGCAUGCAGCUAACCAAAGAAGAGUGCUAUAAUAUCAUGGUGUUCUAUUUUAGGCCCAUGAAUCCCAACUUUGCCAAUUGGAUCAGGUAAUGAGUAAUAACGAAUUAUGCUUUGGAAACAAAGACCCUUGUAUAUACAAGAUAUCAGAUCUCAAUUUACCCAUGUGAAAUAAAAAAGAAUAAUACCGCUUCUUAUAAUAAACUCAUUAGUGCUAAAUAAGUCCCCAGUUAUUAGUCAAAGGACUCAACCAAAUUCCCAUUUCUCUCCAGAAGUGUCUUCAGUAUGCUAAGCCAUUUGCUCUCUCUCUCUCUCUCUCUCUGGGGGUGCAGGAGGGGUGAAGGGAAGGGCUCAUGCCCAAUGAUUAUUCCAUAUACCAUGAAAUAUAACAAACUCAUUUAGUGGAUUAGUACAGUGUGCAUGCAGUUCAUACAUAAUGCAGACACACAUGGACUAUAACAAGUUGGCCAUAUGCUGUAGAUGUAAGCUAGUUCUUAUUUUGUAUUCCAUAUAUAUCAGUGGAAUUAAUCAUUCUCUCACCUUUUAGUUAGCAUGCUUUAACUUGGUGGUCCAUGAAGAUUUCUCAAGAAUGUGGGAACUUUCAGGGUAAACAUUUUUUAAAUAGAGUUGGGAGGGGGAGAAUGGGAUCUAAACUAAAUAUCAAAACAGGAAAUCUAGACAAACCAAAAGAAUGUUUUCCAAAAAAUGAAUUAUAUUAGUUCCUAGUAAAGGCAUAGCCUACAACUUCAUCACCACCCAUUUCAUGUUCUUAAGCCAUUUCUAUAAAAAAUAUCUGAUCUUUCUCUUCACAAAAGUAAAUCAUGAGUGAAUCCUUAAUUUCUAUGGCAUGACAUCAAAGUUGGACCCUCAACAGAUUCUGUACCAUGCUACUUCAAAAGGUCAUUUUCCUUAGCAAGAGGCCACCUGAGUAACUAGUUGGUAGGAUUAGCAGUAAGUGCACAAAAUGGUGCAAUGAAAUGAGCAAGCUUGCAAUGCAACACAAGCCACUGUCUAAACCAGCACCAAGGAAGACCACGUUGGAUAUCCAAUUAUUGAUAAAACAUACAUCCAAUAGUUGUGUCAACCAAACAGCAGGAAGACCUUCACGAGUUCAGCUCAACAAGUAAUUCCCAAGUAAAACCUGGUUCCAGGUUCCUGCAACCAUUCUGACUCUCUCUCACUGAGAAUUGACAAGUAACAAAAUCAUACGGCAAGACUUUGAGGACAAAGGUGCUUUUGGUAUUCAGGAUAAGAUUGUAGCACCCCUUCACAUCCUCUGAUAUGCUUUAAGAUGCAAGCGCUGUCAAUUGACAUGAAGAACCACUUUCAUACACUGAAUCUGAAUCAAAAGUUAGCUAAACUAAACCUUCCCUUUCACGAAAAAUAAAAGAUCUCAAUUCUCACAUGGUUCAGAUUUUAUCAUUAGUUAUUCAAAUAUUAAAGUUCUCUCUUUUCUUUUUCGUAACAAAAGUUUUCCAUUAAUGAUCUUAAAACUCUUACGGUAAAAACAGAAACUUUGUAGGAUGAAUUGGGGAGUAAAAACCAAAGCUACAUUGGAAAUCCAAGAUGGUAAAACAAUUACCAGAAAUUUCGCUGCUUUCCAUAAAAAAGCCUGAAAAAUCUUCUCUCUGUCCGGGAUCCAACCCCAUCCACCAGUCCAGGCACCCCUUCUUCCUCCAAAAGGCAUUGGCAGCUAGACCAGCGACCGCAGCCCUCUCCUUCGCUGCCUUCCUCCCCUUCGGAUUCUUCCCUCCAUGGGAGCUAAGCCACGCCAGCCUCAACGCCACCUCCAGCCGAUUCGCCACGAAUGCCUCCAAGCUGUAGUACCCCUUAUCCUUCAACCACGGCAGCUCCGCCCAGGGCGCCCCCAACCCACUCUCCUCUUCUCUCAGGAACCUCCCACCGGAGAUCCCAUCCAUGACCUCCACGAACCGGUCCGCGUCGACGACCAAGUCCUCGGAGACCGUGAGGAAAUCCAGGGGGACAGUCGGCGGUCUGCUCGCCCUCCCGGGACCCGAAGAGGCGGAGGGAGCGAGCGAGGUCAAGCUCGGCGGUGGAGGAGGCGGCGGCGCGGGCGAGGAGGCCGUGGUAGCGGCGGAAGCAGAGGGAGGGGAGGGAGGGGGAGGAAGAGGCGGGAAGGUCAGGGAGGAGGAAGAAGAAGCCGUGGCCGUGACGGCGGAGGCGGGAGAGCAUCUGGAGGAGGAUGCGGACGAAGUCGGGGUCGAUGACGGUAAGGGCGGACUGGCGGUGAGAAGCGGAGAGGGAGGAGAACCACCUGAGGACGGCGGCGCGAGGCUUGGGGUUCGGGUUUGGUUUUGAGGAGUGGUAGAGGGCGAUAUGGGCAGUGAGGGAAUCGAAGAGCUGGUGGGCAUCCAUGGCGGGCGGCGGAGUCGGUCGGAAAGUGUUUGUUUGUGUGUCCGAGAGACGCAAAUGGAGGUUGGUGGAACCUUGGGAGGCGGGGUAAGAGUGGGACACCUGGCACAUUAGUUUGUGUUAUGGAACCAGUUCCAACCUUCGUUUGCACCUCAACAUCUUUUUUUUUUAACAUAAUAGAAUAGAUAAUUAAAAUAAAAUAAAUAUAAUUAUUUAAUUAUUUUUCAAAAUACUUUUUAAUAUUAAUAUUAUGAUAUAUUAUUAAUAUACAAAAUUUCGAUAGCAUAUGCAAAAUUAUCAUUAUAAUAAGAUAAUAUAUUAUCAUAAAAUAAUAAGAUCAUAAUCCAAUUUGUAUAUAAAUAAGAAAUAAAAAAGUAUUGUAUGUCUAGAAUAUAUAAAUAAAAUAUAGUAGAAUUAUUAAUAGUUAUGCUUUUAUUUUUAAAUAAAAAUAUGAUCACAAAAAUACAAUAAAUUUUAAUUAAAUAUUAAUGCAACAUAAUAUAGGUACAAAUUUAAAAUAUUUUUAUUAAUAUCAACAUAUAUUAGCAAGUAUGGUUACUAAUAAUAUCAUUAACUUUUAUAUUAAUUUCAUGAUGCUUUAUUUAAUAUAAUUUAAUAAGUUAAUAAGUUUCUUAUUAAUCUAUUCAUAAGCUUUUUAUUUAAUAUGGUAUUAAAUAAUUUUUUUAUUAAUAAUGUUAUUAAGAUAGAUACCGAGAGCUUUGCUGAAAUAAAGCCUUCAUUUUAAUAUGUGUGUGUGUACACAUACACACAUAAAUAUAUAUAUUAAAUAUAUUAGAUGACCCCUAACAUUUGGUAUCAUAACUAUUUUGCUUCCAACCUAUAAAAUAAUUGCCGCUAAAUAUAUAUUUUCACUGGAUAGAUAUAGAUACGUUAAUAUUAAUUAAAUAUUAAAUUUUUAUCCAUAUGUAUUUUAACCCGUUACAAAUACAAAUUUAUAUUUUUUUAUCUUCUUCCUCUCUACACUAAAAUCCUCUAGCCUACGUUAUGGCCCACAAAAACUCUUGCCACGUUUUUGAAAAGUUAUCCAUAAGCCUCAACAUUACAUACAUUAUGCUUUCAUAUCUCAUUGUUGAUUGGACAUAAGAUCGGCAAAUGAAAACUUUAUUUAUUUAGUUAAGUCUUAAUAGUAGAGUUCCUUUCUUUAUUAUAAUAGAGAUUGAUAUCAGCUAUUACUUCACAUUAAUAAGUAUCCCAAUUUACAGAACAUGUAUAUUUAACGGCUGAACACGCAUCAGCAUUACCAAGCCGUGCCCGUCUCACAAACAGAACAGAGAUCAUUCAGGAGAAAAACAAACUAUAGAGUAAGCAAUUAAUAAAUAAACGUACAGAUGGUUUAAAGACAUCGUCUUCUGUGGAUCCAAUCAAGAUGAUGAGAAUGAGGAUUUAAUGGUGACUUCGCCAGUUGAAGGGUCAAAAAAUGCCUCAAUCUCAGCAAAGCACUCAACGGCAUCGACUGCCACAGGCUUGCUCAAAAGCUUCACUCCUUGUUUCCAAUAUCUGCUAUCUGAAAUCAACAGUCCCACAAGAAUGAAAAUAUAAAUAAAAGAAAGGCGAUACGGCUUGGAAUAUCUUGGAUUUUACACAAGUUGUUUCUUCAUUAAAAGUUUUAAGGACAAUGAAGUAUUGCAUCAGGAAUACUGGAAUGGAACAAGUGAUUCAUAAUGAUGCAAACCUGGCCCAGUUGUCAAAACAAUGGAAUUUUUUUCAUCCAUCACCCAAUCAAUCCAAAGUGCAAAACCAUGGCAUAAUCCUGGCUCCGAAAACUCAAUCUACAUAAAGAAUGAAGAGGUUGGAAUACUAUUGCUGAAGAAGUAGAAAACAACAUGAUCAGAAUGCCCUUUAGUAAAGUACAUGGAGAGUUGGCUAAAAGCGUAUCCUUUGGAACGAAAGUUCCUGGUAUCAUGCCAUUGUUCAUUUUAUGUAAUUUUUCUUCAUUGUUUAACCAGUUGACUUCAUUUUUUUCAAUUUUUUUGCCAUUUUGUAUCUUGCACAUGUGUGAGCCACACCUCUCCAGUUUUCAUUACCUCAGUACCCUAUUCUUCUUUUCAAUUGUUUUCAUCAAUUUGAAAUUUUAACCUAAUCCUCAGCAGCAUCAGGAUCUUAAUUUCCAAGACCUGUCAGUAACUUCAAGGCCAGGACAAUUAACCACCUCUCAUAUUUCAUUGUUAUCAUAUCUUUGUUCUGCACCCAUCAGACCUCCUUUAUUAGUCCAUACAAAUGUAGGUUUCCUGUUCUACAAUAAGCCUUUUCUUUUGAAAUUUGUAGAUUAUAUUAUAUUGUAUGUGAGUGGCUUUUUGUAGGCUUUGAUAAAAAUAGCUUUUCUAUUAUCUUUGGUUGUUGGGAAGUAAGAAACUUUUUUGUUAUUUGGAAAGACAUAACUAAGUUGCCACUUUCUGCUUAUGGGUUGAGUAGCUUGUUGAUAUCAAAUUUGAUGAGUGCAAACAAUGUGAGAAGCAUGCAUGGAAGCAAUGGAAUUGAAAGAUCUGAAAAGAUGCGACCGGUGAAAAUUAUGGCUUUAUUUGGGAAGGUACAUAGUCCAAUCUUGGCUAAUUGAAAACAUCAAUAAUGAAGAUCAAAUUUAAGCUAUAACUGUCUGAGAAUCGAAAGGAAAUCCUCGGGAUCAAUGAUAUAGGUGGCACAAGCUGUCUGAUAUAUGCCAUAAUUAAAUGGAUUGCAGGCCAAAAUUUGUAAAGGCCUGUCACAACAUUUGGGAGAAAGACUGCUUCUACCUGUUUCAUUAUCAGAAGAUCACCUCGAAUCAAGUACUGGACUAGAUAUUAGUUGCACCCACCAACUCAAAGCGUGUAGACUCUUUUAUUAAUUAUAACUCUGAAUACAGGAGUUGACAAAGAAGUUUGCCAAAGAUUUACUCAGAAUUUAAUGAGAAAUCCUCACCAUUUUCAUGUAUAAAAGUAAAAUUUCAUAUGAUGAAUGUAAAUCUGAAAAAUGGGCAAAUGAAUAUUUUAGCCAGUUGAGGACAAUUGGAUAGCAUGCAAUAUAAAAUAAAAAUGGCCAACAAAAACAUGCAUUGAAGAUCAAGUAUAUAGCAUCUAUUCAGGAAAAUGCACAUAAGGGCUACACAAAGAAGCCACUGAACAAAAAAUACCUUUGUUUUUCCAAAACAUGCAUGAAUUGGCUCUGAGAAAUUAAACUCCAUGAUUGAAAUUGCCUCACUAAGUUUCUGUUGGAUAUUAAGUGAACAAUCACAUCAGUUUACAAGAAUAAAACCAAUCAUUUAUAUAAGUCAAACUUAUCUUCUACAAUUUGAUAUACUUACCUUAACCUCACCACAUUGCCAUAUAUAAUAAGGCAGACAAGGACCUUCCUGCAUUGGUGGUAAGUCGCCACAGGCCCCUAAAGUCUCGUUCACAACUGAAUGGUCAAAGCCUUCAACAUCUUGGAGGCAGCACUGACUUCUCCACAAGUUCUGCAUAAGAAAAUAAAUUUUCUAACACUACAACAACGAGAAAAGAAAUCACCGGCUUCAAGCAAUCAAUUUAUAGAAUAGAAAAAAAAGGAGGUACAAAUAGAAAAGAAACUCACCGGAAGUGACAUGGCACAAACCUUCAAGGUUCCUUUACAAGGCAUGAUAAAUACAUCCUCAGCUAGAAUCGAGUCAAGCAGAGUCCUCUCCUUCCUUCAAUCAAUUUAAAAUGAACCAGAAUGCUUAGGACUAUGAUAUAAUGUCAUACAUAAGAUAAUAGAUACAGAAAUCAAAAGGUAGCCCGCCUUCUAUUGUUGGCUUUAUCGUGCAAAAAGGUAUAAUCCCUUGAAUACUGUGACAGACUCUCAUUGCGUUAAGGUUUACAUGAGCAAUUCUACUCUUUUCUAUGUCAAGUCCUCACAGGCACAAUACAAAACACCUGUUUAGCUGAAGGGACAGGUUUCGACCUUAUUGGCAUCAUCUAUUUGCUAGUGUUGCACCAUUAUUAUAGCAUAUUGAUCGACUGUGUUGUCAAGAUUGACAGAGUCAUAAAUCAUAGAGGAAGCUAGAUCAGACUGGGAAUGUAUCAAAUUGCAGAUGGUAAAAUAUUCCUUUUCCAGUUUCUUCAAAAAUUUAAAAAUAUAAAAGAAAUGUGACCGGGAAAAAAAUGAGUCAAACACAAAG
Molecule: long non-coding RNA, 37683 nt
Filed under: Phoenix dactylifera (date palm)
Lineage: Eukaryota; Viridiplantae; Streptophyta; Magnoliopsida; Arecales; Arecaceae
Description: long non-coding RNA (PDAC_LNC002572)
Source: RNAcentral